UCCCUGGUGGCUCAGAGGGUAAAGCGUCUGCCUGCAAUGCAGGAGACCUGGGUUCGAUCCUUGGUCAGGAAG
This 72-nucleotide transfer RNA is filed under the name Bos taurus (domestic cattle). It matches the Rfam family "tRNA". From Rfam's summary of the family: Transfer RNA (tRNA) molecules are approximately 80 nucleotides in length. Their secondary structure includes four short double-helical elements and three loops (D, anti-codon, and T loops). Further hydrogen bonds mediate the characteristic L-shaped molecular structure. tRNAs have two regions of fundamental functional importance: the anti-codon, which is responsible for specific mRNA codon recognition, and the 3' end, to which the tRNAs corresponding amino acid is attached (by aminoacyl-tRNA synthetases). tRNAs cope with the degeneracy of the genetic code in two manners: having more than one tRNA (with a specific anti-codon) for a particular amino acid; and 'wobble' base-pairing, i.e. permitting non-standard base-pairing at the 3rd anti-codon position. RNAcentral also lists the same sequence under 1 other name. Lineage: Eukaryota; Metazoa; Chordata; Mammalia; Artiodactyla; Bovidae. The record is from Rfam by way of RNAcentral.